UCUUUACAGAAACAUUGCAAAACUCAUCGACAGCAGAAAUUGGACGAGAAACUGCCAAUACAUUUGAAGUGAAACAUUUUAUAUACAUGCUAACAAAAGUCUGUUUCAUUACAUAAAUUAUAACAUUUACAAUAAUUGAUGUGAUGGUAAUCUGUAAAGGUAAAACUAUGUGCUUGUUUUCAUCCAAACCUCACAGGGAAUCCCGAAGCAGAUGGGUGGGAACCACUUUGGGAUUAUCAUACUAAUGAAUGAUGCCUCUGAUUAGUAGGUGGUGGUGUUUUGUUCUCCUGGACAAUCACUCAACCACUGAGGGGGGUCUUCACUAUUCAAAAGGCAAUGUCUUCAGGCAGAGUCCAGUGAAGUGACUCUGCGUAUUUGACACUUUCUCUGGGAUGCAGAUGGUUUAUGGAUGUGGUCACUCAAGAUGUUUUUCAGAAAGCAGUGCAACACUUUACAUGGCCAGCCGCCAGACGACUUUAAGGUGUGGCCAUCUGGAAGAAUUUCAGUCCUGUCUACUGGACAGAGUUUAGAUUGUGUACAGCGUCAGGGAAUGCUUGCAGUGCAGAGCCCUUUUCAAGUCAUACCCACCAGGGUUUAGGGCAGGAGUGGGGAACCCUGGGUCCUGGAGGGCCACUGUCCUGCAGAGUUUAGUUCCAACCCUAAUCAAACACACCUGAAUUUAAUU
Non-coding RNA from Misgurnus anguillicaudatus (oriental weatherfish), 685 nucleotides. The record is from RefSeq and is a predicted model, not a curated record. NCBI's taxonomy places the organism in Eukaryota, Metazoa, Chordata, Actinopteri, Cypriniformes, Cobitidae.